This 200-nucleotide ribosomal RNA is filed under the name uncultured bacterium. RNAcentral describes it as "partial 16S ribosomal RNA". It matches the Rfam family "Bacterial small subunit ribosomal RNA", at positions 319 to 508 of the family's 1533-position model. The record is from RNAcentral.
CUGAGACACAGGUCCAAACUCCUACGGGAGGCAGCAGUGGGGAAUCUUCCGCAAUGGGCGCAAGCCUGACGGAGCAACGCCGCGUGAGUGAAGAAGGGUUUCGACUCGUAAAGCUCUGUUGUUGGGGACGAAUGUGGAGAUGGUGAAUAACCAUUUUCAAUGACGGUACCUGACGAGGAAGCCAACGGCUAACUACGUGC